GGCGUAGGGGACGAGCGUUGUCCGGAUUCAUUGGGCGUAAAGCGCGCGUAGGCGGCCACGCAAGUCGGGUGUGAAAUCCCGGAGCUCAACUCCGGAACUGCACUCGAAACUGCGCGGCUUGAGGUAGGUAGGGGAGAUCGGAAUUCCUGGUGUAGCGGUGGAAUGCGCAGAUAUCAGGAGGAACACCGGUGGCGAAGGCGGAUCUCUGGGCCUUACCUGACGCUGAGACGCGAAAGCUAGGGGAGCGAACAGG
RNAcentral lists this ribosomal RNA (253 nucleotides) under uncultured bacterium. RNAcentral describes it as "partial 16S ribosomal RNA". It matches the Rfam family "Bacterial small subunit ribosomal RNA", at positions 524 to 776 of the family's 1533-position model. The record is from RNAcentral.